UAUUUUCCUGCACCAUGGAUACGUUUCUCGCACAUUUUUCAUCGAAUCAUCACAUCUAUAGUGAACAGAAUUUUUAUAUACAUAUGUAUAUAUAAUAUAUCUGUUGUUUCUAACGGUUCACAGUGAAUGGAAUAAUACUGUAAUGAUUCGUAGAGCAGCGCAGACAUAAAGAAACCAUAGAAAUUCGAUCGAUCGUUGUCAUCGGCCGAUUGUAUUCAUGCUCGUGGACAUAAAUUUUAAUCCUAUCUUCGUACGAUCCGCGUUAAAAGAUUUUAUUUCUGUUUCAAUCCUUUCAUUUCUUUUCGCUGACCGAACAAAAAUAUUAUAUAUCCCUAAAAUCGCGAAUCGUUUCGUUCAAUGUUCCGAGCUCGACUGGCAUUUUGAAUUAACGUUGCACUGGCCUGACGUCUGAUAUAAUACCACUGAACUCUAUAUAUGUAUACAUGGUGCGUAACG
RNAcentral lists this unclassified non-coding RNA (456 nucleotides) under Bombus terrestris (buff-tailed bumblebee). RNAcentral describes it as "misc RNA ENSBTSG00005027041.1". The record is from RNAcentral. Lineage: Eukaryota; Metazoa; Arthropoda; Insecta; Hymenoptera; Apidae.